Molecule: ribosomal RNA, 468 nt
Filed under: uncultured bacterium
Lineage: Bacteria
Description: partial 16S ribosomal RNA
Rfam family: Bacterial small subunit ribosomal RNA
Source: RNAcentral
GACGAACGCUGGCGGCGUGCUUAACACAUGCAAGUCGAACGGAAAGGCCCUGCUUUUGUGGGGUUCUCGAUUGGCGAACGGGUGAGUAACACGUGAGUAACCUGCCCUUGACUUUGGGAUAACUUCAGGAAACUGGGGCUAAUACCGGAUAGGAGCUCCUGCUCCAUGGUGGUGGUUGGAAAGUUUCGGCGGUUGGGGAUGGACUCGCGGCUUAUCAGCUUGUUGGUGGGGUAGUGGCUGACCAAGGCUUUGACGGUUAGCCGGCCUGAGAGGGUGACCGGCCACCUUGGGACUGAGAUACGGACCAGACUCCUACGGGAGGCAGCAGUGGGGAAUAUUGCACAAUGGGCGGAAGCCUGAUGCAGAAACGCCGCGUGCGGGAUGACGGCUUUUGGGUUGUAAACCGCUUUCGAAUGUGACGAAGCGUGAGUGACGGUAAUGGGUAAAGAAGCCCCGGCUAACUACGUG